UUAUACGCAUGGUAGAGGAGCGUUCUGUAAGCGGUUGAAGGUGUGCCGGGAGGCAUGCUGGACGUAUCAGAAGUGCGAAUGCUGACAUGAGUAACGAUAAGGGGGGUGAAAAACCUCCCCGCCGGAAGAUCAAGGUUUCCUGCGCAACGUUAAUCGGCGCAGGGUGAGUCGGCCCCUAAGGCGAGGCAGAAAUGCGUA
This 198-nucleotide ribosomal RNA is filed under the name uncultured Symbiodinium. RNAcentral describes it as "partial Bacterial large subunit ribosomal RNA". It matches the Rfam family "Bacterial large subunit ribosomal RNA", at positions 1217 to 1413 of the family's 2925-position model. Lineage: Eukaryota; Dinophyceae; Suessiales; Symbiodiniaceae. The record is from RNAcentral.